Stegodyphus mimosarum is the source of this 73-nucleotide non-coding RNA. The record is from Rfam. Lineage: Eukaryota; Metazoa; Arthropoda; Arachnida; Araneae; Eresidae.
ACCUCCGUAGUGUAGUAGUCAGCACGUUCGACAUGUAACCGAGCAGUCCGUGGUUCGAUUCCCGGCGAAGGCG